Molecule: non-coding RNA, 529 nt
Organism: Microcebus murinus (gray mouse lemur)
Lineage: Eukaryota; Metazoa; Chordata; Mammalia; Primates; Cheirogaleidae
Source: RefSeq, a predicted model, not a curated record
CUCCACGCGUGGCCGUUCCUAGUAUGCCCUGUUCCUGCUCCCCACUCUGAGGACCCUGGGAUCAGGGGGCGGGAAGCGACGGCAGACGCAGACUCGAGCCUGGGCUCUGAGAAGUCACUGCGUGAGCUUGCCUGUCACGGGGCUGUGACGUGGCCCAGCUGUGGGUUUGAACCCAGGCGAACUGACCCCAAAGGCUGUGCUCUUGCACAGGGGCCCUGAGGAGCUGGCCUCUGAGCCCAGCCCUGAAGGUGACUCAGACGAGGCAGCGUCGCCCACCUGCUGGCUGUGCGUCCACCUGCUGGCUGUGUGUCCACCUGCUGGCUGUGCCUCCGUUGUGAGGAGCCGGCGGGCGCAGGAGGAGGUGCUGCUGGAGGCGGAGCUGGUGCAGGAGAUUCAGCGGGGACAGCAAGGAUGUGGAACGUCGAGAUCAACAGAAGUCCUGCACCGUGCAGGGCACCCGGGACAGUGACUGCUUCAGAGGCUUCUCAGGACUGGGGCUUCUUGGCCCCUGUGUGCAGAGCGGGGAGCU